Molecule: ribosomal RNA, 606 nt
Filed under: Erysiphe trifoliorum
Lineage: Eukaryota; Fungi; Ascomycota; Leotiomycetes; Helotiales; Erysiphaceae
Description: eukaryotic LSU rRNA
Rfam family: Eukaryotic large subunit ribosomal RNA
Source: RNAcentral
AUGCUUUGGGUUGUGGGUUCGGCCUAAGUUCCUUGGAACAGGACGUCAUAGAGGGUGAGAAUCCCGUAUGUGGCCGAGGCCCGCGCCUAUGUAAAGCUCUUUCAACGAGUCGAGUUGUUUGGGAAUGCAGCUCAAAAUGGGUGGUAAAUUUCAUCUAAAGCUAAAUAUGGGCCAGAGACCGAUAGCGCACAAGUAGAGUGAUCGAAAGAUGAAAAGCACUUUGGAAAGAGAGUUAAACAGUACGUGAAAUUGUUGAAAGGGAAGCGCUUGCACCCAGACUUGGGCGCUGCUGAUCACCUUGCGGUCUCCGCAAGUGCACUCGACAGCGCACAGGCCAGCAUCGGUUCGGGUGGCUGGAUAAAGGCCGUAGGAACGUAGCUCCCUUCGGGGAGUGUUAUAGCCUACGGUGCCAUGCAGCCCAGCCGGACCGAGGACCGCGCCUUCGGGCUAGGAUGCUGGCGUAAUGGGUGUAAGCGACCCGUCUUGAAACACGGACCAAGGAGUCUAACAUCUAUGCGAGUGUUUGGGUGGUAAACCCAUACGCGGAAUGAAAGUGAACGUAGGUGAGAACCCCUUUGGGGCGCAUCAUCGACCGAUCCUGAUGUC